Molecule: ribosomal RNA, 513 nt
Filed under: bacterium enrichment culture clone ALO1_GLFRUDD03GEBO6
Lineage: Bacteria
Description: bacterial SSU rRNA
Rfam family: Bacterial small subunit ribosomal RNA
Source: RNAcentral
GAGUUUGAUCGUGGCUCAGAUUGAACGCUGGCGGCAGGCCUAACACAUGCAAGUCGAGCGGAUGACGGGAGCUUGCUCCUUGAUUCAGCGGCGGACGGGUGAGUAAUGCCUAGGAAUCUGCCUGGUAGUGGGGGACAACGUUUCGAAAGGAACGCUAAUACCGCAUACGUCCUACGGGAGAAAGCAGGGGACCUUCGGGCCUUGCGCUAUCAGAUGAGCCUAGGUCGGAUUAGCUAGUUGGUGGGGUAAUGGCUCACCAAGGCGACGAUCCGUAACUGGUCUGAGAGGAUGAUCAGUCACACUGGAACUGAGACAUGGUCCAGACUCCUACGGGAGGCAGCAGUGGGGAAUAUUGGACAAUGGGCGAAAGCCUGAUCCAGCCAUGCCGCGUGUGUGAAGAAGGUCUUCGGAUUGUAAAGCACUUUAAGUUGGGAGAAGGGCAGUAAGUUAAUACCUUGCUGUUUUGACGUUACCGACAGAAUAAGCACCGGCUAACUCUAGUGACAGCCGCCG